AGGCACAUACACAUGCAAGUCGAACGGUAACAGGAAGCAGCUUGCUGCUUCGCUGACGAGUGGCGGACGGGUGAGUAAUGUCUGGGAAACUGCCUGAUGGAGGGGGAUAACUACUGGAAACGGUGGCUAAUACCGCAUAACGUCGCAAGACCAAAGAAGGGGGACCUUCGGGCCUCUUGCCAUCAGAUGUGCCCAGAUGGGAUUAGCUUGUUGGUGAGGUAACGGCUCACCAAGGCGACGAUCCCUAGCUGGUCUGAGAGGAUGACCAGCCACACUGGAACUGAGACACGGUCCAGACUCCUACGGGAGGCAGCAGUGGGGAAUAUUGCACAAUGGGCGCAAGCCUGAUGCAGCCAUGCCGCGUGUAUGAAGAAGGCCUUCGGGUUGUAAAGUACUUUCAGCGGGGAGGAAGGUGUUGUGGUUAAUAACCGCAGCAAUUGACGUUACCCGCAGAAGAAGCACCGGCUAACUCCGUGCCAGCAGCCGCGGUAAUACGGAGGGUGCAAGCGUUAAUCGGAAUUACUGGGCGUAAAGCGCACGCAGGCGGUCUGUCAAGUCGGAUGUGAAAUCCCGGGGCUCAACCUGGGAACUGCAUUCGAAACUGGCAGGCCUGAGUCUUGUAGAGGGGGGUAGAAUUCAGGUGUAGCGGUGAAUUGCGUAGAGAUCUGGAGGAAUACCGGUGGCGAAGGCGGGCCCCUGGACAAAGACUGACGCUCAGGUGCGAAAGCGUGGGGACC
This 737-nucleotide ribosomal RNA is filed under the name Salmonella sp. Trautman ave_2007_17. RNAcentral's name for it is "bacterial SSU rRNA". It matches the Rfam family "Bacterial small subunit ribosomal RNA", at positions 44 to 769 of the family's 1533-position model. The record is from RNAcentral. Lineage: Bacteria; Pseudomonadati; Pseudomonadota; Gammaproteobacteria; Enterobacterales; Enterobacteriaceae.